CUCACAGUCCGGCUCUGCUCGUGCCAAGCUCUAGCUCUUGGAUGUGCUAUCCUCCCUUCUCACUCUCGGGCUCCAGCAGCAAAUGGACGAAAAGCAUCACGAAGCAGCUCAGCUCCAUCUUCUAUAGUUAUUUCUUGAAUCUGUGAUAUACUAUAUAAUGCAUUCUGUAGAAAACAGAAUGAUGUUCAUUGGAGCCUCUCUCUUGCUAUGUUUCUUCCAUUUGUUUCUGCUCUAAGAAAACUCCAUACUUGGAAAAUGUCUCUUCAUGACUUCUUCGAAGUUUUUUCUGUAGUUUUCAGUCUUGGGUGCGUGCAGUUUCUUCAUGUCACAUCUGAAAUUUGGGGCCAUGUAUGUACAUUGUAAUUAGCAGGGCCUUCCCUGUUUGUGAUACUAAAUGAGGUACCUCUAUAUA
Triticum aestivum (bread wheat) is the source of this 412-nucleotide long non-coding RNA. RefSeq lists it as uncharacterized. Lineage: Eukaryota; Viridiplantae; Streptophyta; Magnoliopsida; Poales; Poaceae. The transcript is spliced from 2 exons. The record is from RefSeq and is a predicted model, not a curated record.